UACGAAGGGGGCUAGCGUUGUUCGGAAUUACUGGGCGUAAAGCGCGCGCAGGCGGUCUUCCAAGUCAGUGGUGAAAGCCCGGAGCUCAACUCCGGAACUGCCAUUGAAGCUGUUGGACUUGAGUACGAGAGAGGUGAGUGGAAUUCCCAGUGUAGAGGUGAAAUUCGUAGAUAUUGGGAAGAACACCGGUGGCGAAGGCGGCUCACUGGCUCGUAACUGACGCUCAGGCGCGACAGCGUGGGGAUCAAACAGG
Molecule: ribosomal RNA, 253 nt
Filed under: uncultured bacterium
Lineage: Bacteria
Description: partial 16S ribosomal RNA
Rfam family: Bacterial small subunit ribosomal RNA
Source: RNAcentral